NGCCCUGCCAGGAACUGGGGGGAGCAGAGCUCAGCCCCCCCCUCCAUCAACCCCCCAAAUAUCCCAGCCCAGACCCCCUCGGGAGGGCAGCCUGAGCACCCCGGCUGCUCUUAGAGGUGGGGGUCCCGCAGGGGAGGGGCCCUGCUGAGCAGUUGGGUGGGUGCACACAGCUUUGGGGUGCUGGGGAGGGGGAACGUCCUCCCCUGGAGGAGUGGAAGCGCCUGGCUCCCGUUAUCCCCCACAAGGCUGAACGCCCCCAUCCUCCACGCCCGAGUGCUCAGGAAGGGCCGGGAGCCGCCUGUGCUCCCCCAUCGCUGUCGCCAUGGCAACAGCAGCCCGUGCUCAUCCCGCAUCCAUCCCGCAUCCCGCAUCCCGCAUCCAUCACCCCGCCUCCCCCGCGGCGUCCUGCCUUCCCUGUCCCUCAUCCCUCACCCUGCACCCCAGAUUCCGGAUCCUGCAGCGAUCAUCCCGCACCCCUCAUCCUGCAUUUCACAUUCCCGCAUCCCUCAUUAUCCAUCCCGCACCCCUCAUCCUGCAUUUCACAUUCCCGCAUCCCUCAUUAUCCAUCCCGCACCCCUCACCCUGCAUUUCACAUUCCUGAAUCCCUCAUUAUCCAUCCCGCACCCCUCACCCUGCAUUUCACAUUCCUGCAUCCCUCAUUAUCCAUCCCGCACCCCUCAUCCUGCAUUUCACAUUCCCGCAUCCCUCAUUAUCCAUCCCGCACCCCUCACCCUGCAUUUCACAUUCCCGCAUCCCUCAUUGUCCAUCCCGCAUCCCAAUCCCGCAUCCCUCAUCCCACACCUCCCCCUUCCCCUGCUCCCCACCCUCUGCCCGGGGUUAUUUCUCUCUCCCGGGGGGAAUUUUUGGCAGCUGUGGGGGGGGAUUGACACCGUGGGGGUCUUCGUGUCACUUGGCAAUCACGGGCAGGGGGCACCCCCGGCAGGACCCGCAGGGCGGGACGGGAGCUCCCCCGCCCUGUGGGGUGCAGGGCUGAAGGAGCAGAUUUGGGGGGGCUCCUGGGGGUGGGAAGGACAC
Molecule: long non-coding RNA, 1035 nt
Filed under: Lonchura striata (white-rumped munia)
Lineage: Eukaryota; Metazoa; Chordata; Aves; Passeriformes; Estrildidae
Description: domestica (Bengalese finch) lncRNA (ENSLSDG00000011463.1)
Source: RNAcentral